RNAcentral lists this ribosomal RNA (496 nucleotides) under uncultured bacterium. Its description in RNAcentral is "partial 16S ribosomal RNA". It matches the Rfam family "Bacterial small subunit ribosomal RNA", at positions 28 to 506 of the family's 1533-position model. The record is from RNAcentral.
GAUGAACGCUGGCGGCGUGCCUAAUACAUGCAAGUCGAGCGAACGGACGAGAAGCUUGCUUCUCUGAUGUUAGCGGCGGACGGGUGAGUAACACGUGGAUAACCUACCUAUAAAACUGGGAUAACUUCGGGAAACCGGAGCUAAUACCGGAUAAUAUUUUGAACCGCAUGGUUCAAAAGUGAAAGACGGUCUUGCUGUCACUUAUAGAUGGAUCCGCGCUGCAUUAGCUAGUUGGUAAGGUAACGGCUUACCAAGGCAACGAUGCAUAGCCGACCUGAGAGGGUGAUCGGCCACACUGGAACUGAGACACGGUCCAGACUCCUACGGGAGGCAGCAGUAGGGAAUCUUCCGCAAUGGGCGAAAGCCUGACGGAGCAACGCCGCGUGAGUGAUGAAGGUCUUCGGAUCGUAAAACUCUGUUAUUAGGGAAGAACAUAUGUGUAAGUAACUGUGCACAUCUUGACGGUACCUAAUCAGAAAGCCACGGCUAACUACGU